UAGGGCAACAGUGUCUAGAUGGAAUUUGUAUUUGUGGUCCUGGUGACUGGACCUUUUUUGGAAAACCAUUAUUUUGGUCUUACUGAGAUUUACUGUCAGGGCCCAGGUCUGACAGAAUCUGUGCAUAAGAUCUAGGUGCUGCUAUAGGCCCUCCUUGGUUGGUGACAGAAGCACCAGAUCAUCAACAAACAGCAGACAUUUGAAAUAUGUGUGCUUUUUGCCAAUUUUAACCGCGCACUUGUUGUUUGUGUACAUGGAUUUUAUAAUGUCGUAUGUUUUACCCCCAACACCACUUUCCAUCAGUUUGUAUAGCUCUCUCUCUCUCCCCCAAUUCUCUCUCUCGCUCUGUUCAUCUUUCUUUCUGUCACACUCUCCAUUUCAUUGUUCAAUUCGAAGGGGUUUAUUGGGAAACAUCUAUGUUUACAAAAGGGAAAUUAACAAGGGAAAUAAACAGUAAACAAAUGUUUUUGAAUUUUUUUAAACCUAGCAAGUUGCACAAUAUUCAACCCACUAGUGGUUCGAGCGUUGGGCCAGUAGCCAGCAGGUAGCGUAGUGGUUCGAGCGUUGGGCCAGUAGCCAGCAGGUAGCGUAGUGGUUCGAGCGUUGGGCCAGUAGCCAGCAGGUAGCCUAGUGGUUAGAGCGUUGGGCCAGUAACCCAAAAGGUUGCUGGAUUGAAUCCCUGAGCUGACAAGGUAAAAAUCUGUUGUUCUACCCCUGAACAAGGCAGUUAACCCACUGUUCCCUGGGUGCUGUGGAGGUUGAUUAAGGCAGCCCCCCGCACCCAGGUCUGUCAGGGCCCAGGUCUGUCAGGGC
Molecule: long non-coding RNA, 813 nt
Organism: Oncorhynchus tshawytscha (Chinook salmon)
Lineage: Eukaryota; Metazoa; Chordata; Actinopteri; Salmoniformes; Salmonidae
Source: Ensembl